UGCCAGCCGCCGCGGUAAUACGAAGGUGGCUAGCGUUGUUCGGAAUCACUGGGCAUAAAGCGCGCGUAGGCGGCUUGGUCAGUCAGUUGUGAAAUCCCUCAGCUUAACUGAGGAACUGCGACUGAAACUGCCAGGCUUGAGGCUUGGAGGGGGAUGCGGAAUUCUCGGUGGAGCGGUGAAAUGCGUAGAGAUCGAGAGGAACGCCGGUGGCGAAAGCGGCAUCCUGGACAAGUUCUGACGCUGAGGUGCGAAAGCUAGGGGAGCAAACGGGAUUAGAUA
RNAcentral lists this ribosomal RNA (279 nucleotides) under uncultured bacterium. RNAcentral's name for it is "partial 16S ribosomal RNA". It matches the Rfam family "Bacterial small subunit ribosomal RNA", at positions 506 to 784 of the family's 1533-position model. The record is from RNAcentral.